CGCGUAGGUGGUUGCGUCAGUCGGAUGUGAAAUCCCCAGGCUUAACCUGGGAACGUGCAUCCGAUACUGCGUGACUCGAGUGCAGCAGAGGGAAACGGAAUUCCUGGUGUAGAGGUGAAAUUCGUAGAUAUCAGGAGGAACACCGGUGGCGAAGGCGGUUUCCUGGGCUGACACUGACACUGAGGCGCGAAAGCGUGGGUAGCAAACAGGAUUAGAUACCCUGGUAGUCCACGCUGUAAACGGUGAGUGCUGGGUGUGGGAGGUGUAAUGCCUUCUGUGCCGAAGCUAACGCGUUAAGCACUCCGCCUGGGGAGUACGGCCGCAAGGUUGAA
This 332-nucleotide ribosomal RNA is filed under the name uncultured bacterium. Its description in RNAcentral is "bacterial SSU rRNA". It matches the Rfam family "Bacterial small subunit ribosomal RNA", at positions 568 to 898 of the family's 1533-position model. The record is from RNAcentral.